Molecule: non-coding RNA, 79 nt
Organism: Podarcis lilfordi (Lilford's wall lizard)
Lineage: Eukaryota; Metazoa; Chordata; Lepidosauria; Squamata; Lacertidae
Source: the annotation of a GenBank genome assembly
CUUCCAGUAGCACCUUAGAGACCAAUGAAGUUUGUUAUUGGUAUGAGAUUUUACUUGGUCUCUAAGGUGCUACUGGAAG